GCCGCUAGUCGAAGAAGAGUUUUUCCCGAGGAUGAUGUUGGUGCACGUAGCCGGGCCAGUAGUUUCGCCUCAAGGUAUCUGGAAGACGAGGAACCACCCCAGCUACCCCAGGUCAGCAGCGGAGGGAUGUAUAUGAAAAGACAACCGCCGAACUUUAAUAUCAGUUGGAGACGAAACGCGGCUCGAAGAGGUCAUGGCUUCGGUAGAAGUCAGAUCAAACCGCCGUGGUCUCCAGGGCUCCAUCGACUGCCUUGCUGAUGGGAGGACUUAACCGGUCAGUGUGAUACUGACCAUACAUACUGGACACGAGUGACAACGUCAAGGUGUUCCUGACACCCGUACCUGUGUCCACCAGGACGACGCAGUUCCGCCACAACGUGCACAGGGACUCCUACCACGACAGGGAAAGUCAGUGGAGUCCGUGCAAGUCAGUGAGACGAGCUGCAUCACUGAAGGAGCUAGAAUAGACGUCCGUGUGCCUUAUAAAGUCGGGAAGGAGCUACAAAUCACCCAGAACAGCACCAUCGACAGGAGGAAGAUAACGAGAGGGGAGUGCCAGACCAGUAGCAGAUCUAGAAUAGCCAAUCGAUUGCGCUGCUACAACCAUAGUGAACCUAAAACUAGUUAGAGAAUUCACGGACUAGUUUUGAGGUGAUUUAUACCAUUACUGUGCAUUUUAGUGUACUGGGUAUACAUUGCAGUAGUAGUUGAUUGUGCAUGUGUAUCAAAGAACCGUACAUAAGGUUAACCUCAGCGACGACGGACCGAAUCAAACCGGAGAUGGAUGUAGUAAAGGAGAGAACCGCCAGAGGAAUGUUCAGUACAAUUACUCUGUAUCCAACCUGUGACCGAAGUUAGCGGGGUCAGCAUUAUGUAGUAACGUCAAAACACUUCAACAGUCUCCCGUGCCAAGUGUACGGAAAACCUUG
Branchiostoma floridae (Florida lancelet) is the source of this 929-nucleotide long non-coding RNA. RefSeq lists it as uncharacterized. The record is from RefSeq and is a predicted model, not a curated record. The transcript is spliced from 4 exons. Lineage: Eukaryota; Metazoa; Chordata; Leptocardii; Amphioxiformes; Branchiostomatidae.